UAGGGAAUAUUGGUCAAUGGAUGGAAGUCUGAACCAGCCAUGCCGCGUGCAGGAAGAAGGCGUUAUGCGUUGUAAACUGCUUUUGCCAGGGGAUAAAAAGGGAGUGCGCUCCUUAUUGAAGGUACCUGGUGAAUAAGCCACGGCUAACUACGUGCCAGCAGCCGCGGUAAUACGUAGGUGGCAAGCGUUGUCCGGAUUUAUUGGGUUUAAAGGGUGCGUAGGCGGCUUUUUAAGUCAGUGGUGAAAUAUCUCAGCUUAACUGAGAGGGUGCCAUUGAUACUGGAGAGCUUGAGUACAGACGAGGUAGGCGGAAUUGACGGUGUAGCGGUGAAAUGCAUAGAUAUCGUCAAGAACACCGAUAGUGAAGACAGCUUACUAGGCUGUAACUGACGCUGAGGCACGAAAGUGUGGGGAUCAAAC
Molecule: ribosomal RNA, 420 nt
Filed under: uncultured bacterium
Lineage: Bacteria
Description: bacterial SSU rRNA
Rfam family: Bacterial small subunit ribosomal RNA
Source: RNAcentral